UCCAGACUCCUACGGGAGGCAGCAGUGGGGAAUAUUGCGCAAUGGGGGCAACCCUGACGCAGCAACGCCGCGUGCAGGAAGAAGGUCUUCGGAUUGUAAACUGUUGUCGCAGGGGAAGAAGACAGUGACGGUACCCUGUGAGAAAGUCACGGCUAACUCCGUGCCAGCAGCCGCGGUAAUACGGAGGAUGCGAGCGUUAUCCGGAUUUAUUGGGUUUAAAGGGUGCGUAGGCGGGCUGUUAAGGCAGCGGUAAAAGCCCGGGGCGCACCCCCGGCGAGCCGUUGAAACUGGCUGUCUUGAGAUGUCGAGAGGUAUGCGGAAUGCGCAGUGUAGCGGUGAAAUGCUUAGAUAUUGCGCAGAACUCCGAUUGCGAAGGCAGCAUACCGGCGGCGAUCUGACGCUGAGGCACGAAAGCGUGGGUAUCGAACAGGAUUAGAUACCCCCGUAAC
RNAcentral lists this ribosomal RNA (449 nucleotides) under uncultured bacterium. RNAcentral's name for it is "bacterial SSU rRNA". It matches the Rfam family "Bacterial small subunit ribosomal RNA", at positions 330 to 795 of the family's 1533-position model. The record is from RNAcentral.